GAUGUGGUCCUCACGGACCAAAGCUGGCCUCUGCAUAUGCUGGCGCAUCGAGAGGGGUUCAUGUGCUAUUAGCUUGUUGGUGGGGUAACGGCUCACCAAGGCGAUGAUGGCUAGCCGGCCUGAGAGGGUGUCCGGCCACACUGGGACUGAGACACUGCCCAGACUCCUGCGGGAGGCUGCAGUCGAGAAUCUUCCACCAAUGCGCGAAAGCGUGAUGGAGCGACGCCGCGUGGGCGAUGAAGGCCUUCGGGUUGUAAAGCCCUGUUGGAUGGGCGUAAUCCCCUAGAGUUAAUACCUCUUAGGGUUGAACUCCCAUCGGAGGAAGCACCGGCUAAAUUCGUGCCAGCAGCCGCGGUAAUACGAAUGGUGCGAGCGUUGUUCGGAAUCACUGGGCAUAAAGAGCACGUAGGCGGUUCGGUAAGUCAUCUGUGAAAUCCCCCGGCUCAACCGGGGAACUGCAGCUGAUACUGCCGGACUAGAGUGCGCGAGGGGAGAGCGGAAUUCCUGGUGGAGCGGUGAUAUGCGUAGAUAUCAGGAGGAACGCCGGAGGCGAAAGCGGCUCUCUGGCGCGCAACUGACGCUGAGGUGCGAAAGCUAGGGGAGCGAACAGGAUUAGAUACCCUGGUAGUCCUAGCCGUAAACGAUGGGCACUAAGUGGAGGGGCUCCCAAGGCCUCUCUGCCGGAGCUAAUGUGUUAAGUGCCCCGCCUGGGGAGUAUGGUCGCAAGGCUGAAACUCAAAGGAAUUGACGGGGGCUCACACAAGCGGUGGAGCAUGUUGUUUAAUUCGAAGCAACGCGAA
RNAcentral lists this ribosomal RNA (800 nucleotides) under uncultured bacterium. Its description in RNAcentral is "bacterial SSU rRNA". It matches the Rfam family "Bacterial small subunit ribosomal RNA", at positions 172 to 965 of the family's 1533-position model. The record is from RNAcentral.